RNAcentral lists this ribosomal RNA (500 nucleotides) under uncultured bacterium. Its description in RNAcentral is "partial 16S ribosomal RNA". It matches the Rfam family "Bacterial small subunit ribosomal RNA", at positions 30 to 523 of the family's 1533-position model. The record is from RNAcentral.
AUUGAACGCUGGCGGCAGGCCUAACACAUGCAAGUCGAGAGGUAGAGAGGUGCUUGCACCUCUUGAGAGCGGCGGACGGGUGAGUAAUGCCUAGGAAUCUGCCUGGUAGUGGGGGAUAACGCUCGGAAACGGACGCUAAUACAGCAUACGUUCUACGGGAGAAAGCAGGGGACCUUCGGGCCUUGCGCUAUCAGAUGAGCCUAGGUCGGCUUAGCUAGUUGGUGAGGUACUGGCUCACCAAGGCGACGAUCCGUAACUGGUCCGAGAGGCUGAUCGGCCACACUGGAACUGAGACACGGUCCAGACUCCUACGUGAGGCAGCAGGGAGUAAUAUUGGACAAUGCGCGAAAGCCUGAUCCAGCCAUGAGGCGUGUGUGAAGAGGGUCUUCGGAUUGUAAAGCACUUUAAGUUGGGAGGAAGGGUCGUUACCUAAUACUUGACGAUUUUUGCAUUACCGACAGAAUAAGCGCCGGCUAACUCUGUUCCAGCCGCCGCGGUAA